Myotis davidii is the source of this 75-nucleotide non-coding RNA. Lineage: Eukaryota; Metazoa; Chordata; Mammalia; Chiroptera; Vespertilionidae. The record is from Rfam.
GGCGGUUCUCAGGCAACGCAUCCCAGAAUCGGGCUCCCUCCUCUCUGGUUCCAGGUGCGUCACCUGAGAACCACA